RNAcentral lists this ribosomal RNA (490 nucleotides) under uncultured bacterium. Its description in RNAcentral is "partial 16S ribosomal RNA". It matches the Rfam family "Bacterial small subunit ribosomal RNA", at positions 30 to 507 of the family's 1533-position model. The record is from RNAcentral.
AUUGAACGCUGGCGGCAGGCCUAACACAUGCAAGUCGAACGGUAACAGGAAGCAGCUUGCUGCUUCGCUGACGAGUGGCGGACGGGUGAGUAAUGUCUGGGAAACUGCCUGAUGGAGGGGGAUAACUACUGGAAACGGUAGCUAAUACCGCAUAACGUCGCAAGACCAAAGAGGGGGACCUUAGGGCCUCUCGCCAUCGGAUGUGCCCAGAUGGGAUUAGCUAGUAGGUGGGGUAACGGCUCACCUAGGCGACGAUCCCUAGCUGGUCUGAGAGGAUGACCAGCCACACUGGAACUGAGACACGGUCCAGACUCCUACGGGAGGCAGCAGUGGGGAAUAUUGCACAAAGGGCGCAAGCCUGAUGCAGCCAUGCCGCGUGUAUGAAGAAGGCCUUCGGGUUGUAAAGUACUUUCAGCGGGGAGGAAGGGAGUAAAGUUAAUACCUUUGCUCAUUGACGUUACCCGCAGAAGAAGCACCGGCUAACUCCGUG